RNAcentral lists this non-coding RNA (24 nucleotides) under Arabidopsis thaliana (thale cress). Lineage: Eukaryota; Viridiplantae; Streptophyta; Magnoliopsida; Brassicales; Brassicaceae. The record is from RNAcentral.
UACAUGUUCCUAUUAGAUAAGGGU